UGAGGAAUAUUGCGCAAUGGGGGAAACCCUGACGCAGCAACGCCGUGUGAGUGAUGAAGGCCUUCGGGUUGUAAAGUCCGAUAAGCGGGGAAGAAUAAGCAACGGGUAAUAUUCGUUGUGAUGACGGUACCUGCCUAAAGCCCCGGCUAACUACGUGCCAGCAGCCGCGGUAAUACGUAUGGGGCUAGCGUUGUUCGGAAUUAUUGGGCGUAAAGGGCGUCUAGGCGGGGAAUUAAGUUAGGUGUGAAAUCCCUGGGCUCAACCCAGGAACUGCAUCUAAAACUGGUUCUCUUGAGUUCGGGAGAGGAGAGCGGAAUUCCCGGUGUAGCGGUGAAAUGCGUAGAUAUCGGGAAGAACACCAGUGGCGAAGGCGGCUCUCUGGCCUAGAACUGACGCUGAAGCGCGAAAGCGUGGGGAGCGAACG
RNAcentral lists this ribosomal RNA (424 nucleotides) under uncultured prokaryote. RNAcentral's name for it is "bacterial SSU rRNA". It matches the Rfam family "Bacterial small subunit ribosomal RNA", at positions 355 to 774 of the family's 1533-position model. The record is from RNAcentral.